Non-coding RNA from Oryza glaberrima (African rice), 200 nucleotides. The record is from Rfam. NCBI's taxonomy places the organism in Eukaryota, Viridiplantae, Streptophyta, Magnoliopsida, Poales, Poaceae.
AAAAAGACAAACCCUGGGUUUUCGUGUCCAAUGUUUGACUCUCCGUCUUAUAUGAAAUUUUUUUUAUAAUUAGUAUUUUCAUUGUUGUUAGAUAAUAAAACAUAAUUAAUACUUGACUUGUCUUUUUAAUUUUUUUAUAAUUUUUUAAAAUAAGACGGACGGUCAAACGUUGGACACAAAAAUCCAGGGGUUGUCUUUUU